Molecule: transfer RNA, 76 nt
Filed under: Pseudomonadota bacterium
Lineage: Bacteria; Pseudomonadati; Pseudomonadota
Also listed under: 1 other name
Description: tRNA-Ile
Rfam family: tRNA
About the family: Transfer RNA (tRNA) molecules are approximately 80 nucleotides in length. Their secondary structure includes four short double-helical elements and three loops (D, anti-codon, and T loops). Further hydrogen bonds mediate the characteristic L-shaped molecular structure. tRNAs have two regions of fundamental functional importance: the anti-codon, which is responsible for specific mRNA codon recognition, and the 3' end, to which the tRNAs corresponding amino acid is attached (by aminoacyl-tRNA synthetases). tRNAs cope with the degeneracy of the genetic code in two manners: having more than one tRNA (with a specific anti-codon) for a particular amino acid; and 'wobble' base-pairing, i.e. permitting non-standard base-pairing at the 3rd anti-codon position.
Source: RNAcentral
GGGCUCAUAGCUCAGCUGGUAGAGCUCCCGGCUCAUAACCGGAUGGUCCCAGGUUCGAACCCUGGUGAGCCCACCA